GUGGAAGACUCCAGAAUCCACUCUGGCUGGAACCGUGGAUACAGCAGUGUUACAGUUCUCCACAGUCGCUGUCCACAUGGGUCAGUGGGACAUAGAAGCACACUGCUAAUGUGGGACUCUGACCAGCAACAUCCAGCAAGACCCAGACAGCGUUUUCUAUCUCCCAGCUGAAGUUUUUUUGUUUGUCUGUGACUAGAGAGUCAGAUUUUUGUUGAGGCUGGAGGAACAGCCUUACACUUGCAGAGGUUAAUACAUGCUACUGAUCCCUGAUGGGAGAAUCUUCACCUCUGCCAACAAAGAAGCCUGGUGGAUAUUUGUUUACAGUCUGAUGAUGGGACAUCAUGCUCUGCAUCUUCAAAGUUUGUCUCUUGAUUAUUAUUGAUACACAAUAAUGUGAAGUAUGCUCAUAUCUAGUAUAACUGGACCAACCUGGUGCUCUUCAUUUAUGGAGGCUGUUGAGUCUGAAUGUUGGAUGUUGUGUAUCUCGUGUUCUCUGGGCUUUGUUGUCCUCAGUCUUUUUGCAGAAUCAGAAAACAAAACCAGGAUGACCGUAAAUGUUUCUUCUCCAAUUGGAUGAUGAUAAGACUGUGACACGGGAUGCCACCUUUAGUCUUGUGAUGAAGCAAAGCUCAGGAAGAAGUGUGAUUAAAUGGUACCCACAUGUGUGCUGCUGAGAAGGAUGUACAGGGGCACCUGCAGCCAAAUCCAAGCCUCCUCAGGUUAGUUGUAGUUGCAGAAUGCUUUAGGACUGAGACAGCUGAGGCAUCAAAUGUUUGAUUAAAGCGAUGAAAAAGAGAAGUUUCUUCCCUGUAAUUAUCACUUU
Long non-coding RNA from Oreochromis aureus, 823 nucleotides. RefSeq lists it as uncharacterized. The record is from RefSeq and is a predicted model, not a curated record. Lineage: Eukaryota; Metazoa; Chordata; Actinopteri; Cichliformes; Cichlidae. The transcript is spliced from 3 exons.